This 1636-nucleotide long non-coding RNA is filed under the name Anas zonorhyncha (Eastern spot-billed duck). Its description in RNAcentral is "lncRNA (ENSAZOG00000018713.1)". The record is from RNAcentral. Lineage: Eukaryota; Metazoa; Chordata; Aves; Anseriformes; Anatidae.
AAUACUCUACCCUUGCAGAGAUUUUAAUAGGGAAUGUUAUCUUUUUUAAUAUCCAGCAAAUCAUCUUUUACUGAUGAAUGUCUCCAAAAAUCUGUUUCUUUUUGUUUAUUUUUGCUUGAAGGAUCCAGGUUUUAAGCUGCCAAACUAAAGAUUGAGAAACCUGGAAUAACUCCUAUGCUCUUUAUAGCCCAGUUACAUAGUCUGGAGAGAAUACCUCCUUCCCUACAGACAUGAGCAGAUACAACGGUGCCCUUCCUCUUCAAAGGUCCUCCUGGCGUUAUGGAAAUGUUCUGUUUUCUGUUGCCCUCGGUGAAACAGAUCUGGAUACUGUGCAUCCCUUCUGUUAUCAACAAGCCUUUUGGAGAAAUUUUUGUUCUUCAUGACCUCCCCGUGCUUUCCCUGGAUGCCUCUGCUUGUAAAGAAAGAGGUAGGAUUGACUUUUGAUUGAUUAGCUGAGUCCCUGAUGAGAAUGGAAAUACUUCCCCUAUUGUGGGUGGAGAAGGAUUGGUUUCAGUGGCUUGACCUGCCCUGACAACUCUCUAUAUUUAGUAUGUUGUCUGAAACAUUUAUUUGGAGAUGUCAGCCAUUUAUCUCAAUCAGUUUAAAUUUUUAAUAGCAGACAACUGGAAAACAACUUUCUGGUAGAACUGUUCUACCUUUACAUAACAAGAAACUAAAUGUUUAACAUUCAUAUGAAGAAAUCUGAAGCAGAAUGUAUGAUAUAUUUUAGUAUUUUACUAACAUUAUGUAUUAUUGAGCAUUGUUUAGCUACACUUCUAAUUUAAAUAAAGUAAAAAUAAUAAUAAAUUAAACACUGCAUCUAGAAAAUAAAAAAAAUGCUUACUCCUCCACCAUGUUGUGUAGAAAGACACAAUCACUGGUUUGAGACAGUACAGUCUAUUUCUGGAUAGCAGAUGCUCUGUAGUAUAAUGAUUAUUUGUAGGACACAGGGAUUUUCAGGCAGGCUGCCAAACAGCCCAUGUGCCUCUGCUUAUUGCCACAUUUCUUAAAGGUAGGCUUUUUAAUUGGAAAAGGAGACUUUAUGUGUGAUUUGCUAUGCAGUUCUUGAGAAGUAGUUUUUAAAAUCAAAUGCUAUCAUAUUUUUCCACAUGCACGAAACUUCAGAGAAUGUGCUUCCUCAACAAUCACAUGUUAAACUAUAAUGCUCUGCAGAACUCAGAUGUUGAUAAGAAGACAGAAAAACUGAGAACUGCAUCUUGGGCCCCUAGAUAAGUUCAUGUAAACUGUAAUGUACAUAUCUGCUAUAAAGAGCAAGUAGUACGUUCACUAACAUGUUCCUUCUCCAAUACAAAGUGAUCUUACUAAGUACUCUUCCUAGGUAUCUCUACCUAGACCUCUAUAUUCAUCUAUAGUCUGUACAAUACACCCACCCCCACACAGCAGUGGUUAACUACAGAUGAGUCCAAUUCCAGCAUUUUAUGGGCAUGGCAAACAUAUGGUUUGCAUACUCUAGACCCCGUCUGAGAAUUCACAGCUGUCUAGGUCACCAGACAUAUAGGCCUUGCUCUGUAGAUAUGGGUCGCAGUCCUGCAGUGAUAAAACUAUAGGAUUCUAUCAUAGAGGAACUAAAAGAUGAUGAAAAGAUGAACACAUUUCUUCACUACAAACUUGAAGG